This 425-nucleotide ribosomal RNA is filed under the name uncultured bacterium. RNAcentral describes it as "bacterial SSU rRNA". It matches the Rfam family "Bacterial small subunit ribosomal RNA", at positions 354 to 796 of the family's 1533-position model. The record is from RNAcentral.
GUGGGGAAUAUUGGACAAUGGGCGCAAGCCUGAUCCAGCCAUGCCGCGUGAGUGAUGAAGGCCUUAGGGUUGUAAAGCUCUUUCGCCGACGAAGAUAAUGACGGUAGUCGGAGAAGAAGCCCCGGCUAACUUCGUGCCAGCAGCCGCGGUAAUACGAAGGGGGCUAGCGUUGUUCGGAAUCACUGGGCGUAAAGCGCACGUAGGCGGACAUUUAAGUCAGGGGUGAAAGCCUGGAGCUCAACUCCAGAACUGCCCUUGAUACUGGGUGUCUCGAGUCCGGAAGAGGUAAGUGGAACUGCGAGUGUAGAGGUGAAAUUCGUAGAUAUUCGCAAGAACACCAGUGGCGAAGGCGGCUUACUGGUCCGGUACUGACGCUGAGGUGCGAAAGCGUGGGGAGCAAACAGGAUUAGAUACCCUUGUAGUCC